Molecule: transfer RNA, 76 nt
Filed under: Roseateles saccharophilus
Lineage: Bacteria; Pseudomonadati; Pseudomonadota; Betaproteobacteria; Burkholderiales; Sphaerotilaceae
Also listed under: 44 other names
Description: tRNA-Val
Rfam family: tRNA
About the family: Transfer RNA (tRNA) molecules are approximately 80 nucleotides in length. Their secondary structure includes four short double-helical elements and three loops (D, anti-codon, and T loops). Further hydrogen bonds mediate the characteristic L-shaped molecular structure. tRNAs have two regions of fundamental functional importance: the anti-codon, which is responsible for specific mRNA codon recognition, and the 3' end, to which the tRNAs corresponding amino acid is attached (by aminoacyl-tRNA synthetases). tRNAs cope with the degeneracy of the genetic code in two manners: having more than one tRNA (with a specific anti-codon) for a particular amino acid; and 'wobble' base-pairing, i.e. permitting non-standard base-pairing at the 3rd anti-codon position.
Source: RNAcentral
GGGCGCUUAGCUCAGUUGGUAGAGCACCUCCCUUACACGGAGAUUGUCGGCGGUUCGAGCCCGUCAGCGCCCACCA